Molecule: transfer RNA, 71 nt
Filed under: Thermochaetoides thermophila DSM 1495
Lineage: Eukaryota; Fungi; Ascomycota; Sordariomycetes; Sordariales; Chaetomiaceae
Description: tRNA-Glu (CTC) (tRNA-Glu-CTC-2-1, tRNA-Glu-CTC-2-2)
Rfam family: tRNA
About the family: Transfer RNA (tRNA) molecules are approximately 80 nucleotides in length.
Source: RNAcentral
UCGGGUAUGGUGUAGCGGUAACAUCUGCGACUCUCACUCGCAAGCCCGGGGUUCGACUCCCCGUAUCCGAG